AGGACGAACGCUGGCGGCGUGCUUAACACAUGCAAGUCGAACGAGGUCCACUGCGUAGCAAUACAAGGGAAGACCGAGUGGCGAACGGGUGCGUAACACGUGAGGAACUUGUCCCGGUCUCUGGGAUAACAGUUGGAAACGACUGCUAAUACCGGAUGACGUCGGAGCAUCGCAUGGUGCGCUGACGAAAGGGUUACCGGAUCGGGAGAGCCUCGCGGCCUAUCAGCUUGUUGGUGGGGUAACGGCCUACCAAGGCAUCGACGGGUAGC
This 269-nucleotide ribosomal RNA is filed under the name uncultured bacterium. Its description in RNAcentral is "partial small subunit ribosomal RNA". It matches the Rfam family "Bacterial small subunit ribosomal RNA", at positions 26 to 287 of the family's 1533-position model. The record is from RNAcentral.